UACGAAGGGUGCUAGCGUUGUUCGGAAUCAUUGGGCGUAAAGCGUGCGUAGGCGGUUUAGUAAGUCAGCUGUGAAAGCCCAGGGCUUAACCCUGGAACUGCGGUUGAAACUACUUAACUUGAGUGUGGCGGGGGAUAGUGGAAUUCCUAGUGUAGGGGUGAAAUCCGUAGAUAUUAGGAGGAACACCGGUGGCGAAAGCGACUAUCUACACCAUUACUGACGCUGAGGCACGAAAGCGUGGGGAGCAAACAGG
RNAcentral lists this ribosomal RNA (253 nucleotides) under uncultured bacterium. RNAcentral describes it as "partial 16S ribosomal RNA". It matches the Rfam family "Bacterial small subunit ribosomal RNA", at positions 524 to 776 of the family's 1533-position model. The record is from RNAcentral.